This 241-nucleotide transfer RNA is filed under the name Nanobdellati archaeon. RNAcentral's name for it is "tRNA-Leu". Lineage: Archaea; Nanobdellati. The record is from RNAcentral.
GCAGGGAUGCCGGAGCGGAAAACGGGAUGGACUCAAGAUCCAUUGGCUCAGUGCCUACGAGGGUUCAAAACAAGGGAUUUCAUCCCCUUGACCCCUGAAAAAACCCACUAGGGUUUUUUCGGGCUUGACAAACGCGCAAGCGUUCUGUCAAGUCCUGAAAUGCCACCUUCGCCUUGCGGCGAAGUGCCAUGGUUUUUAGGGGCAGAUGGGCUUCCUUGGGAAACUCCCUCUCCCUGCACCA